Molecule: ribosomal RNA, 353 nt
Filed under: uncultured bacterium
Lineage: Bacteria
Description: bacterial SSU rRNA
Rfam family: Bacterial small subunit ribosomal RNA
Source: RNAcentral
AACGAACGCUGGCGGCAGGCCUAACACAUGCAAGUCGAACGCUCCGCAAGGGGAGGCGGCGCACGGGUGAGUAACACGUGGGAACCUACCUUCUGGUACGGAACAACCAAGGGAAACUUUGGCUAAGACCGUAUACGACCUCCGGGUGAAAGAUUGAUCGCCGGAAGAGGGGCCCGCGUCCGAUUAGGUAGUUGGUGAGGUAACGGCUCACCAAGCCCUCGAUCGGUAGCUGGUCUGAGAGGAUGACCAGCCACACUGGGACUGAGACACGGCCCACGACUCCUACGGGAGGGCAGCAGUGGGGAAUAUUGGACAAUGGGCGCAAGCCUGAUCCAGCCAUGCCGCGUGAGUGA